This is a long non-coding RNA of Sapajus apella (tufted capuchin), 156 nucleotides long. RefSeq lists it as uncharacterized. The transcript has 3 exons. NCBI's taxonomy places the organism in Eukaryota, Metazoa, Chordata, Mammalia, Primates, Cebidae. The record is from RefSeq and is a predicted model, not a curated record.
GAUUUUAUUAGAUGGGUCUCAUGAGAUCUGAUGGUUUUUUAAGGGGUUUCCCCUUUUACUUGGCUCUUAUUCUCUCUUACCUGCCACCGUGUAAGAUGACCCUUUCACCUUUGUCAUGAUCUUGAGGCCUCAGCCAUGUGGAACUGAGUCCACUAA